GUGGCUCAAGAUCUAACAAAUUGUGAUUGGGAGUGGACUAUGAACCGUUUCAUGUUACAUAGUUUAACCUAUCUAUACAUUGUAUUUAGCCUUUUUUCUGUAGUUAAUGACAUCACGGACAUGUUCAAAGGACUUUGUUUUUAACAUUCCGUUAGUGUGUUUUGCCCCUUUUUCCUCUUAUGGUGGUAGGAGCACCUGGAUUCUCAGGUGAGCUUUAGUCACUGUCCGGAACCUGGGGUGAAGAAGUGACAAGUGUUGAGCCCUUGUGGGAGCUGGCGCUGGCCGACACUGGGAAACGACUGUGCUAUCAUUUAGGAAGCCAUAAGCUUUGUGCAGCAAGGGCCUGCUGAGGCAGGGUAGUUCAUCAGUGGGCUUCUUCCCUUUCCUCCGGUGACAUCACUGCCCAGCUGAGAUGAAGUUUACAUGCUGACUUUACUUCAGGGAGAAAGAGGUUGCACAUACACCCUGCCUCUAACCUCUACAGCAGCUUGUUGAGUGCUCCGCAUGCUCUGUGCAGCGAGCAGAGGUUACCUCCGACCACGCGGGGGCCGUUGCAGCCCCUGCCCCCGCCCCCAGAAGCAGUUAAGGCAGUGGGACUGCGGGUGAGGCUUCAGGAAAUGCAUUCCACGGCUGGAGCAGCCCCUGUAUGAAGAUUUCAUUUGUGCGGGAGAAACCAGAGAAAGACAGAUGUGCAAAGAAGGCUACCAGGGAGUCCGUUGUGAUCAGUUUCUGCCAAAAACUGACUCCAUCUUAUCGGAUCCAAGUGAGAGAGAGAACCUAGAUGUCUAUUCCGUCAGAGCUAUUGGAAGCACAAUUCUACAAGAGUAACAACCUAAUAUAUGCAUGAAACAAUAAAAGAAGAUAACUCAAGAAACAUACAAAAUUUUAAACCAAUAAAAUGUUUAUUGAUUAGAUAUUCCAAUGAGCC
RNAcentral lists this long non-coding RNA (928 nucleotides) under Fukomys damarensis (Damara mole-rat). Its description in RNAcentral is "lncRNA (ENSFDAG00000029172.1)". Lineage: Eukaryota; Metazoa; Chordata; Mammalia; Rodentia; Bathyergidae. The record is from RNAcentral.